Molecule: unclassified non-coding RNA, 376 nt
Filed under: soil metagenome
Description: partial contains 5.8S ribosomal RNA, internal transcribed spacer 2, and large subunit ribosomal RNA
Rfam family: 5.8S ribosomal RNA (bases 1-120)
Source: RNAcentral
GAUGAAGAACGCAGCGAAAUGCGAUAAGUAAUGUGAAUUGCAGAAUUCAGUGAAUCAUCGAAUCUUUGAACGCACCUUGCACCCUUUGGCAUUCCGAAGGGUAUGCUCGUUUGAGUGUCAUUGUACUCUCACACUCCCGAUCUUUGGAUUGGGAGCGGUGGACUUGGGUUUGCUGCUUACCGUGGCUCACCUCAAAUGGAUUAGUGCAACUCUUGGUUGACCAUAGUACGGCGUGAUAAGUGUCUUCGCCGGCACCUCACUGGGUGGGCCGAUCGGGAGCUCUGUGCUUCAAACCGUCUUCGGACAACAACUGACAACUUGACCUCAAAUCGAGUAGGACCACCCGCUGAACUUAAGCAUAUCAAUAAGCGGAGGA